This 75-nucleotide transfer RNA is filed under the name Monimopetalum chinense. RNAcentral's name for it is "tRNA-Pro". The record is from RNAcentral. Lineage: Eukaryota; Viridiplantae; Streptophyta; Magnoliopsida; Celastrales; Celastraceae.
UAUCAAUUAGAAUCAGUCUAGGUUAUAGACGGCAAUAACAAAAAUAGAGUGACAAAGAUAAAAACAAUUCAUCAU